GAUGAACGCUGGCGGCGUGCUUAACACAUGCAAGUCGAACGAUGAAGCCCAGCUUGCUGGGUGGAGUAGUUGCGAACGGGUGAGUAACACGUGAGUAACCUGCCCUUAACUCUGGGAUAGGCCUGGUAAACUGGGUCUAAUACCUGAUAGGAGCGUCCACCGCAUGGUGGGUGCUGGAGAGAUUUAGCGGUUUUGGAUGGACUCUCGGCCUAUCAGCUUGUCGGUGAGGUAAUGGCUCACCAAGGCGACGCCGGGUAGCCGGCCUGGGAGGGUGACCGGCCACAAUGGGACUGAGACAGGGACCAGACUCCUACGGGAGGCAGCAGUGGGGAAUAUUGCACAAUGGGCGCAAGCCUGAUGCAGCGACGCCGCGUGAGGGAUGACGGCUUUCGGGUUGUAAACCUAUUUCAGUAGGGAAGAAGCGAAAGUGACGGUACCUGCAGAAGAAGCACCGGCUAACUACGUG
Molecule: ribosomal RNA, 466 nt
Filed under: uncultured bacterium
Lineage: Bacteria
Description: partial 16S ribosomal RNA
Rfam family: Bacterial small subunit ribosomal RNA
Source: RNAcentral